UACGUAGGGGGCAAGCGUUGUCCGGAUUUAUUGGGCGUAAAGAGCGUGUAGGCGGCUAUACAGGUCCGUUGUGAAAACUCGAGGCUCAACCUCGAGACGCCGAUGGAAACCGUAUGGCUAGAGUCCGGAAGAGGAGAGCGGAAUUCCUGGUGUAGCGGUGAAAUGCGCAGAUAUCAGGAAGAACACCGGUGGCGAAGGCGGAUCUCUGGGCCGUAACUGACGCUGAGGAGCGAAAGCAUGGGGAGCGAACAGG
This 253-nucleotide ribosomal RNA is filed under the name uncultured bacterium. RNAcentral's name for it is "partial 16S ribosomal RNA". It matches the Rfam family "Bacterial small subunit ribosomal RNA", at positions 524 to 776 of the family's 1533-position model. The record is from RNAcentral.